GUUAUCAAUAAGAGAAGCAAAUGGAUCUACACGAAAUAAUUUGAGCUAAUUACUUGUAGAUUUUAGUUAUUAAACUGUGUGUUGCAAAACACAGGCUUCAACAAGUAAUUAGGGGUGAUAGGCCAAGCAAAAGUUAAGAUAUCUUGAUUUUAAGGAAACACAUUUAGUGUAAAAACAAACCUGGAGUGAUAAGGCUCUAAGUAAAAAUUAACUUUUAUAAAUACACUUAACUAUGACUUUAACUGGUGAUAUAUAAGGAUUAUAUUAUUUAAAUAAGUAAGUUUAUUUUUAGUACUUAAAUUGUAAUUACUAAAUAUUUAUAAUGUUAACAUGAGUAGUAGAAGAGAUUGACAAAAUGAACUCGGCAAAUUUUUCUUCAACUGUUUACCAAAAACAUAACUGCGUGGAAUAACGCGUAGCUUUUUCUGCUCAAUGAAUAUUAAAUAGCCGCAGUACCCUGACUGUGCAAAGGUAGCAUAAUCAGUUGGCUUAUAAUUGAAGUCUGGAAUGAACGAAUAUAUGGGGAAUUACUGUGUCUUGUCAAGAUGCCGAAAUUAUUUAGUAAGUGAAAAUCCUUAUAUAUACUUAAUAGACGAGAAGACCCUAGAAAUUUUAAUUAUAUUUUGCUGGGGCGGCAUAGUAACAUUAAACUUACAAUACCUAACAUGAAUCUAUAUUAGAGGUAAGACUAAUUACUCUAGGGAUAACAGCAUAAUUUAGCAAAGAUUGUGACCUCGAUGUUGGACUAGGAAGUUCAAGUCUAGAAGACGUAG
Molecule: ribosomal RNA, 773 nt
Filed under: Amphidromus schomburgki
Lineage: Eukaryota; Metazoa; Mollusca; Gastropoda; Stylommatophora; Camaenidae
Description: partial 16S ribosomal RNA
Source: RNAcentral